This 253-nucleotide ribosomal RNA is filed under the name uncultured bacterium. RNAcentral describes it as "partial 16S ribosomal RNA". It matches the Rfam family "Bacterial small subunit ribosomal RNA", at positions 524 to 776 of the family's 1533-position model. The record is from RNAcentral.
GACAGAGGGUGCAAACGUUGUUCGGAAUUACUGGGCGUAAAGCGAGUGUAGGCGGUCUGAAAAGUCAGGUGUGAAAGCCCUGGGCUCAACCCAGGAAGUGCACUUGAAACUGCCAGGCUAGAGUAUCGGAGAGGUUGGUGGAAUUCUCGGUGUAGAGGUGAAAUUCGUAGAUAUCGAGAGGAACACCGGUGGCGAAGGCGGCCAACUGGACGAAUACUGACGCUGAGGUGCGAAAGCGUGGGGAGCAAACAGG